Molecule: long non-coding RNA, 2356 nt
Organism: Prionailurus viverrinus (fishing cat)
Lineage: Eukaryota; Metazoa; Chordata; Mammalia; Carnivora; Felidae
Exons: 4
Source: RefSeq, a predicted model, not a curated record
UAUUAAUAAGUUCUAUCCAAGGGAUUUCAUGAGGAUUCACUGAGGCGAUACAUAUAAAACACUUAGAAAAGCUUCUGUUACAUGAGAAACUGUCCAUGAGAGUUUACUAUUACUCACUCUACCACUACGAUUAUUGUUACUAUCAUUACCAUCAUCAUCUUACACUUUGUCUUCUCUCUGCUAGGACAAUGGAGGACCAGAGUGAUGUACCCUUAAUGCAAUAAAGGGAGUAACUCCGAUAGUGGCUGACAUUUCUUGGACAUGUCCUACGUGCAAAAACUUUACUUUGAGACGAAGAGGAAUUUUGCCCCAGGAUGGAUCAUGCCCAGAGUCUCCUCAUAUCCGCUUUGGAUAAUCUGGAUGAUAAGAUCCGGGACUUUUGAGCUGAUGAUCCUCAGAUGAAAUUUUGGAUUUUUUGAAUUGAUGCCAUAAUGGGCUGAGACCUCGCCAUUCUUAAAGUCACAGAGGGAAGAGCUGGACAGAGCAGAGCCAAACUCCCAUGUGUGGUGGGCUUCUGGACCAUCUGAAUGUCUUGGCUGUGGGCAUCCCAGAGCCAUGUUAGGGACAAAGACACAGGAGGUGUUCAGGACGUGUUUCCUCAGUGAAGGGCCUGAUGACUGACAACACACGGAAGCUUCUCACAAACCUAACCCUGACAAGCUCUAGAAGGGAAGCCAUCAUUAUCAACCCUUAGGGAGAUGGGGCAUCGGAAGAGUCUACACAUCCUGCUUGUGUGCAGCUGCUGAGAACUCUGUGGAGUCCAGGAAAACGUGGUAGAGCUGUGGCCACCAAGUUCUGUGCAGCUGCAGAAACAGAUGGCACUCCUCCAAGGAUGGAGAAGCGGAGGCCUUGGUCACAUGACACGCGGAUUCUUCUAGUGUCCAGACAAGCAUUACUCUGAUCUGCUGACCAGAGAAGGACAGACGCCCGGGUGUCCGGAAAGGGCCGUGGACAGAGUUUUGAAGGUUCAUCCCUUUUCUAUCAACCUAUGAUCGUACAACGUCCAUGUUAUGUCUUCCCAAGUGCACUUGUGGAUAGCCGAGCUUUGUCCUGAGAUGACCAAGAGGAAAGCUUCGACGAGCUGCCUUUGUCGCGUCAACAAAAGAAGAAUCGGACAGAAAUCUUUCCAGAGGCCACUUGUGGAGCAGCUCCGCAUUCAGUGGGCUCUGUUCAGCGGCCACAUGAGAUACAGCGGGGCGAGGGGAAGGGACCGAGGUUAAUUCUUGAGUGUUCAAGGUAUGGACUCUCUCAAGCCCUGGGUUCUCCCCCACUUCCAUGUGCCUCCUGGGCCCCCGGUCAUUUUCACUGCUCAUUACCACGAGCACCAGAGGGAAGGCAGGGGAAAUGAAGGCGGAUGAAAUUCAAAUGGAUCCAUCCUGCCACUUGUUAGCAGCUCAGCUCACAAGUACACAAAGGGGGAGGAGGCUGCAGUUCUGUGGGUUUCAAAGCUCCCUGCUAUUCUUGUCCCUCGUGCUGCCAGGCAAUAUCGAGUGGGCUGUAUGGAAAUGAUCUGUGGGAUGAAAGAAGAAAGGAGGGGGGAAGCAGGCUCCAUCAGUCGCUUCUUCGAAUAAAAGGGAAAGGAAUUAUAUGCUCGGUGGCAGCGUGCCAUGCAGAGUAGCCCAAAUUUUAUUAAACAAACUCGUGUUUGGAAGCAUCUUAUUCCCUCAGCACUGGAGGGAAAGGGAUGCUGAGACCGUAUUUAGAGCAAUUAUAAUGCAGAGGAUGCACUGAUGGUCAUAGCAGCAAAAAGAAAAUGAGAAAGUAUUCUUGAGAGCUGCUUCCAAGGACGGCAGAGGCAGAAACAAGCAAGGGCCGUAUCAAAACCUUAAAGGAUAAUGAAAGGGAAGAAAAACACAGUAAUCCUUUAAGCCCACUCCCCCUAACACAAAUAGGCGGGCAGGGAGUGGAUGGAACUGUGUUGCAGAAGGAGGUGCCCUCCUCUCUGAGCUUAUGGAACAGGAAGGAGGAGGCCUGUGGUUACCACGGUCCUGUCGUGCUCUGUGGUGGACGCUGUGAUACGCCAUCCAAAUGCCCCUCUAAUGAAGGGCUUGUUCCAGCUGCUGGGAGUGCUGGGGGCAGAGAACUUUCCGCUGUCAGCUUCUUCGGGGCUUGUCUCUGUGUGGCAGAGGGUGGCUCUGCCCUCCAGGGACAGCCUACAUCCAAUGACUGACCGAUGUAGGAGGAUAAAGGCCUGGCCUGCUCAGCCCAACCUGGGGCAGCUCCGAAGGGCCACUGGAGAGAUACAGCGGGGCGAGGGGACUCAGAGCUGCCUGAGGGGUUGCCUGAGGUUGUCGUUGGGUAUGCAUUACAGCUCAACUUCUCUCUCCUGUCCAUCUCAUCCCGCCCACAAAUGUUG